Thalassophryne amazonica is the source of this 294-nucleotide long non-coding RNA. RefSeq lists it as uncharacterized. The transcript has 3 exons. Lineage: Eukaryota; Metazoa; Chordata; Actinopteri; Batrachoidiformes; Batrachoididae. The record is from RefSeq and is a predicted model, not a curated record.
AGACAGAGAGCGUGCGAAGGGGGGGGGGGGGGAGAGCAGAUACUUGGUGACGCGUUGCAGCAGGACAAUCGAGUCUGAAGGCGCGCAGCCAGCGGACACGGACUGAAGAUGCAGGUGAUGUCCUGGAGUGUGGAUUUAGCUGACAGAAUGAUAUUUGCCAAGCUCCUCCUCCCCUUCAUCAUAUUCCACCCUUUUUGUAAAGCCUCCAACAACCCUCCACAAUUUAACAACUACUUCUUCACGACCUACCUGCUCAUCUAUGAAGACACACCUGUUGGUGAGUCCUGACUGUCU